UGAUCCAGCCAUGCCGCGUGAGUGAAGAAGGCCUUCGGGUUGUAAAGCUCUUUCAGCCGGAAAGAAAACGCACGGGCUAAUACCCUGUGUGGAUGACGGUACCGGAAGAAGAAGCACCGGCUAACUACGUGCCAGCAGCCGCGGUAAUAA
RNAcentral lists this ribosomal RNA (150 nucleotides) under uncultured bacterium. RNAcentral describes it as "partial 16S ribosomal RNA". It matches the Rfam family "Bacterial small subunit ribosomal RNA", at positions 384 to 526 of the family's 1533-position model. The record is from RNAcentral.